GACGAACGCUGGCGGCGUGGAUUAGGCAUGCAAGUCGAACGGUAGAGAUCUUUCGGGAUCUUGAGAGUGGCGAACGGGUGAGUAACGCGUAGGUUAUCUACCCUCAAAUUGGGGACAACCCAGGGAAACUUGGGCUAAUACCGAAUGAGAGCAUCUUUCGGGAUGUUUAAAAGAUGGCAGUAAUGCUGUUGUUUGAGGAUGAGCCUGCGUCCCAUUAGUUAGUUGGUAAGGUAAUGGCUUACCAAGGCGAUGAUAGGUAGGCGGCCUUAACGGGUGGUCGCCCACACUGGGAUUGAGAUACGGCCCAGACUCCUACGGGAGGCAGCAGUCGAGAAUAGUCUACAAUGGCCGAAAGGCUGAUAGUGCGACGCCGCGUGAACGAAGAAGCCCUUCGGGGUGUAAAGUUCUUUUAUAUGUGAGCAAUGCUUUUUAUGUGAAUAGCAUGGGAAGAGAGAUAUUAGCAUAUGAAUAAGCAACGGCUAACUCCGUGCCAGCAGCCGCGGUAACACGGGGGUUGCAAGCGUUGUCCGGAAUUACUAGGCGUAAAGGGCAGGUAGGCGGAUAGAUAAGUUUUUUGUCAAAGGCAACGGCUCACCCGUUGUACGGCAGGAGAUACUGUUUAUCUGGAAUGCGGUUGGGGAAGACAGAAUUCCUGGUGUAGCGGUGGAAUGCGCAGAGAUCAGGAGGAAUACCAAAGGCGAAGGCAGUCUUCUAAGCCGUUAUUGACGCUAAACUGCGAAGGUGUGGGUAUCAAACA
RNAcentral lists this ribosomal RNA (757 nucleotides) under bacterium enrichment culture clone B1-42. Its description in RNAcentral is "bacterial SSU rRNA". It matches the Rfam family "Bacterial small subunit ribosomal RNA", at positions 28 to 774 of the family's 1533-position model. The record is from RNAcentral. RNAcentral also lists the same sequence under 1 other name.